RNAcentral lists this long non-coding RNA (720 nucleotides) under Homo sapiens (human). Its description in RNAcentral is "HSALNT0114634". The record is from RNAcentral. Lineage: Eukaryota; Metazoa; Chordata; Mammalia; Primates; Hominidae.
GUAUACAAAGUCAAUAUUAGAAAGUAAUGCUUCUUCUAUAUUCCAGCAACAAGAAAAUAAAAUGGUCCACACAUAAAUGAAUGCUUGAUGUACAAUAAAGGUGCACUGCAGGGCAGCGGGAGAAAAAAGUCUUUCCAAUAAGUGGCACUAGGACAAUUGCGUACCAUGCUGGAAAAAGAAGAAAUUGAACUCCUAACUCACACAAAAGUCAAUUCCAGAGUUGAAUGGAACUGAUAUAAACAAUAGGCCGCCGAAUGACUAGUUGGUCAUCUGAAGGAAGAAUACCAAUAAGAAAAGUAAUGGAGAACUGAAAGCUCAUGGUGUGUUCAGAGAACAGCUAGCAGAGGAGAGGAGGAAAGAAGAGAAGGAAGGAAGAAGAUCAAGCUGAAAUGGUACUACGGGGACUCUUAAUGCUCCAUUAAGCCAAAUGGUUUGGACUUCAUCUGCUGGCCAUGGUGGCUACAACUGGAGCAGCCAUUUGGGUGGUGAGGUGAGUUCAAGAUGGAAGCCAAGCACAACCUAGAAGGACCCUGACUCCCUGACACCAUGGUUUGCCAUAUGGGACCUGGACUGAUUCCCUUUGGAACUUUAUCUGAGAGAAAUAAACUUCUGUCUUGCUUAAGCCAUUUUUAUGGUGUCUUUCUGUCAUUUGUAGCUAAUCCUAAUCCUAAUUUUUACAUUAUCCUUCCAUAAGCUGUGAAGAGCCACAAAAAGUUUUAU